GUGAGUCCGAGUUGAACGGGGUUCGUCUCUUUUCGCGUCUUCCAAAACGUAUUUACUGUUCAGGUCAAACUUGACCGGCCGUGACAUUGACAGCAAUUAAAAACACCCUAAAUGUCAUUCUUUUAUCCUGAAACUUAACAACUUUGAUGAUCCAAAAUAAACAAAAAUGUCAUGUCUGAACUUUUUUUUUAACUUUUACUUUAAAGUAAAAUAAUUUGUUUUGUGGCUAAAAGAGCACCCAGUCAUGCCACCAAUCACUCCUUCACCCCCCGCCCCCACAAGAAUGUGAACACCUUUGUUCACAUCCAUGGUUAUCUGCUGUAAUUAUUAUGUAGUUUCGAUUUCAACCAGCUAGCUAGCUAGCUUGCUAUGCCCCGAAAAUACAUCUUCCUUGUAAACCAGUUUGCACAACAGCCCGGUGGCGUUAUUUAAAUAACGAAGAGGUGACACCGUGGAUGACGGUGCCGCCCGUCUGCCGACCGAAAGGAGGAGCCCGUUCGCUCAUGAGCUAGCCCCGCUACGAACCCGUGAGAUAUAUUCUAGCGGUUUCAACUGAACAUGUAGCUAGCGAUGCGUAGGUUUAAGAAAGUUGCUAAACUUUUACUAAUCUAUUUUUCAGCGGGCCGUGGUUUUAACGCUAUUUUUUUAGCUUGCUCGCAACUUAAAUACAAAGCCAACUUUCGGCGAAGCAGCAGGUUGGAAAAACUCCUAAAUUUGGGGUCGUGUAAGUCAGUGCAAGUCACUGCACGGAGUGUGACUCCUUUUGCCGCCCUCUGGUUGUGAGGCUCUACUGUCCUGUGUCUUUCCGCCAAUCACUGCUCCAUUGUUUGAAUCCAGCGCUCAGUGUUUGCGCUACAUUUGAGGUAAUUAGCCCUCGUUGGGUUUUUGUUUCAUGCUCGCUGAGGUCACGGAACCUAUUAAAAGAGCCAUAAAAGCUCUGAUGUAACGGGUUCAAUUGGAGGAAAGAGACUUUCUCCAUCCUUCUAUGCUCCCAUUUCUCCCUCUCCCUCGGUGAAGUCUGUGCCUUUCCUGUUAUGAAAUAUUAAUUGGGAAUCAGUGGAGAGCUUGUCUACUAAAUGCUGGAACAGAAGGGCCCCGUUGGCCUCCGGGCUGAAUGUUUUUUUUUAGGAGGGUGGGGGGGUGAUCAGCGCUCUCAUCCUGUUUACCUGCGGGGACACCCACCCCGGGGGUGUGCGCAGCCCCCCUGCGGCGGCCAGGCUGACAUUUCAAGUGGGAGCAUGGCAGCGGGGGCUCACUCUGUGUGGCCUGCUCGCUAAAUGAGUCCUUGUUGGAUCCAGUUAAAUGGGGACAUCCUUGAGCUGCGCUUUUCAAAGCCAUUUCCAUUUUUAGCUGUCAAUAAAUGGAAAGGGAGCGGACAUGAAAGCUCGCAAGCCCAAGAGUCCCAUUUCUGUGAAACCACUGUAAGGAAUUAUGCGAUCGGCAAUGAAUGAACGACCCGCUCUCUUAUCUCGACUUGAAAGCCAGGCCUGAAAAUGCCCCCCCCCCCACCCCCAAUCCCUCUCUCGCCUGCCCUUGUCCCUCACUCUCUCCCUGUGCUGAUGGCCUUGCCCGGGCCUGGUUUAGACGAGGGAAACUUUGCCCGUGCUGGGCCAAGCGCCACGGAAACAAAUGGGUAGUGACACGGGCGCUGAGGAGCGUGUGCGCGCGCCCCGAGGUCAUACUGCAUGAAUUCGACGCGAUGUAAAGGAGAUAAAAAUGCAGUGAUUGGGAGCAUGGUACAGUAAACCACUUAUAAAUUUUUCCACGGAAUAUAAAAUUAUUAGCCAACAAAAAUGAACCCUGAUCAUUCCAGAAUUGCAGGACAAUUAGGAUACCAAUAUUUUGGGAAAAUGAACAACUUAAACUUACUUAAUUUAAAGAUUAUUUGUUGUGUUUUCAGGGAAAAAAAUGGUAAGAAAUCAACUAUUUGAAUUUGUCCACAAACGUCAACGGUACACUUUUUAUUUGUCAUGUCACUCAGUCCUGUUAACAGAUACAAAAGUACAUGGAAAAAAAAAUUGAAAAAUAUUGCUGAAAUCAUUUCAUUCAUCAUCUUCCGUACCGCUUGAUCCUCACUAGGGUCGCGGGGGGUGCUGGAGCCCAUCCCAGCCGUCUCCGGGCAGUAGGCGGGGGACACCCUGAAUCGGUUGAAAGAUUUUUUUUUUUUAAAUCAUCAAAUGAUUUUCUUCCGCUCAAAAUUGCAAUUGCAAUUUAAUCUGUGAAUUUUUUUAAGGUCCUCUUCCCACGUAUUUUUUUUGGGGGGGGGGGGGGUGGAUUCAUGGCAUUCCCAUCCAUUUGUAAAAAUUAUUGGCGAUAUGAAUUAAUUACGGGUGUGGACAUGGGAAAAAAAAACUUGUAUCACCACUAUAUACCGGUAGCCAUUUUUAUUUUUUAUUUUUUCUUAAUGGGGCCUGUGUGGCAUUCAUAUAUACUUUUGCUUUUCCUCUCAGGACAUGGUCCCUAACCCCGGGAGCAGAGAUUCACUGUAUAUUUUUAUUCCAGCCUGUUUAUGAAAGACGUGUCAUAAAUAGAGAGUUAGUGUGAGGGACAUCCAAGAGCGUGUGCUCCGGUGUCAACAUGCCCCCGCGUCUGCUUUUUUUUCCCAUUUCCCAUUUCCCCCUGUCGUCUACAGCGGCGGCGAGGUUGCGUCGACCACAGGGGAGACGUGAAGAAGCCAGAUAAAUAUUCAUGCAUCUGAACAUCAAGGAACCUACUCAUGCUCUACUUUAGAUAUUUCACUCUAACAUACAGUUUGAGUCUAUUUUGGCACCAAUAAAAAAAAAAGUGAUUCUUCUGAGAAUACAGUAAUCCGAUAUAAAAAUACUUCAUAAAGCCUUUGUGAAAAUCCAUAAAAAUAUUUGCAACCCACAACCCACACACGGGGCACACAAGAGGAACCGCGACCAAGCGGGGGAAUGCUGUACACUCACACGGAGUCUUCCAUCUGGCGCACCCCCAACGGACAUAAGGGGGUGCGAUGGCCCGUUGUUCGCCGCUUGCCGAGCUCAGCAUUGACAGGUUGAGGUGCCGAGUGUUGUGCAGCAAAUAACAGACGACUGCAGGGAAUGACAAUUAAUUACUAGGUUUUAAUGACUGGACUUCCUGGGCCAAGUGUGUGCAUCGGGGAGGUUGUCAUGGCGACCGUUCCAGGUUUGCUUUUUAAUACGUUCCAAAGGCCCAUGCGCUCGGUCUCGGGCCGUUACGUUAAAUAUCACGAUUUGCUAAGUGCGCCGAGCUGUAAUUAAAGUACGCGUCGAGUGGCAUUCUGCUCGGCACUCGUGAUAUCACAGCAAAGUGCUCGGGAGAAAAGGAUUCGCCGUGAAAUCAAAAAAGGGGCGCGCGCUCGUGCUGGGGAAAUUAUUAUCGCAGAAUAAUGCAUGAACGGCGGCGUUAUCUCGCGUGAGAAUCGGCGGCUCCGGCGGGCCCUCUGCGUUAAGCGUCCCCUGCGGGUAACAGCUGGAGGUCGUGCAAGGGGCUUGCUUUGCCCAUAAAUCAGUGAUUAACUCUUAACCGCUCCCAAACAAUGAGCUAUCCACUCUAAUCUGGAGGGGUGGCGGGCGCGCAGGGGUGGGUUGGUGUAAGGCUUCAAGUGUGACCACGGGAAAAAGAUUAGCCUGUUUUUAAGAGGCAGAAAGCAUGGCGAGGGUUUCUUCGGGGGAGGAAUAAAGCUUAUGAAAGGCCAUUUACAUACCAGCGCAACAGCCCCCAGCCAAAUGUUUCGCCACCCGUGUUUGCAUAACUUCGAAACGUGCACACAAUGCACGGCGGUGCUUGAAAGUUGAUGAUUGCACGGAGGGAUGAAAUGGGGAUUAUGACUCGCCUGCGAAAGUGUUGCACUUGGCAAUCAGCGUGCCACCGCAAUCAUUGAAGGGGCCAAAACACCAAACCCCGAGGAAUCGUUCAAGCACCCGCAAAGUGAAUUCAAACAUUUGUUUCGAAAUUACCUGACACAUGUUU
Hippocampus zosterae (dwarf seahorse) is the source of this 3957-nucleotide long non-coding RNA. RefSeq lists it as uncharacterized. NCBI's taxonomy places the organism in Eukaryota, Metazoa, Chordata, Actinopteri, Syngnathiformes, Syngnathidae. The record is from RefSeq and is a predicted model, not a curated record. The transcript is spliced from 3 exons.